UACGUAGGGCGCAAGCGUUGUCCGGAAUUAUUGGGCGUAAAGAGCUCGUAGGCGGUUUGUCGCGUCUGCUGUGAAAACCUAAGGCUCAACCUUGGGCUUGCAGUGGUUACGGGCAGACUAGAGUGCGGUAGGGGUGACUGGAAUUCCUGGUGUAGCGGUGGAAUGCGCAGAUAUCAGGAGGAACACCGAUGGCGAAGGCAGGUCACUGGGCCGCAACUGACGCUGAGGAGCGAAAGCGUGGGGAGCGAACAGG
This 253-nucleotide ribosomal RNA is filed under the name uncultured bacterium. RNAcentral describes it as "partial 16S ribosomal RNA". It matches the Rfam family "Bacterial small subunit ribosomal RNA", at positions 524 to 776 of the family's 1533-position model. The record is from RNAcentral.